UUCCACUGAGCAUUUCUUGCUGCAGAUGCACCUCUGCAAGAUGCAAAACAACAAACCAACCCAUUCUUCUCUCUAUAUAUCCCUUAUUCCUCACUUGUAUCUCCUCAGCCCUGAUCUCUCUCCCCUGGCUCUUAUAUCCACUGUAUGCUGCCUGUCUUGCUAGAUCUAGCUUUCAAAUGCCCCAGCUCACUGCUAAAUGGCAUAUUGAUUGGUCAUGUUCCUCAUCAUGGCUCUAGAUCUCAUGGUUGUGCUUUUACACUUUCGCAGGACUUGAGAAAGCAAGAGAGUGGGAUCAGCUUGCUGUGUUUUUCUUGAUUUAUUGAUGUAUGUGGUUGGUUCAUUUCUCUGUAGCUUUGAUUUGUUCCCUUCUAGCUAGGGGAGCAUUGGGUUAAUUGCAUGCGAUAUGGGCAUGUGUGCAUAGCCCACAUGUGUUUGUCUAUGUGUCUCCAUCUAGCUUUCAUGUCUAUACUGAUUUGAUGAUAGGUUCAUGAGAGGUAGAAUAAAUCAACCUUUAUAUCACUUGGAUCGAUUUCUAUCUGUAUGCAUCAAUCUCAGGACAAGUAAGAACAGGUUUUUCAACUUGGUUGGAGUUCUGCUGGGAAGAUUACCAGCUGAGUACUUAUUGACUUCUGGUGAUGUGCUCUCUCACUGGUCUCUCUUUUAGAAUCUACAGAAGAUGAUCGACAUACCUGACAGUGACUAUUCAAGACUGUUAAUCAGCUGAUCAGGUGAUGUAUAAAGCUUAAUAGAGGGGGAGGAACUUACUGACCUCACAAUAUUUGUGUGGGUGUCUGCAAAUUAAAGGCAACAAUAGCCUUUUUGAGAUGCAGCUGAUGGUGGCCUGGAAGAAAAGAAGCCCUUAAAAGAAGAGAUGAGGCCUCCUCUUCCAUCUCAAGUGCUUAAGAAUCGCACUGACGCUCCCCUCGUGCCACGGUGUAUUGUAUAUGCCCUCCAAGUACAGCAGCAAGUGCACCUGCUGCUCAACUUUUGAUAUGCUGUUCUGGGCUGCCCUUCCCCAUGUUGUUUCCUCUCCCAUCUAUGUGCUGAUGUUAAAGUACAAUAUGUUCAGGCAUCGCAAUGCGUGCCCCAUAAUUAAUUUGUGUCAUAUACAUGUUCA
Brachypodium distachyon (stiff brome) is the source of this 1117-nucleotide long non-coding RNA. RefSeq lists it as uncharacterized. NCBI's taxonomy places the organism in Eukaryota, Viridiplantae, Streptophyta, Magnoliopsida, Poales, Poaceae. The record is from RefSeq and is a predicted model, not a curated record. The transcript is spliced from 4 exons.